CAGUAACUUACUUCUGCUCACUAAAAUUGGAGCCAUAUAGAGAUUAGCCUAUCCCCUGUGCUAGGAUGACAAGCAAAUUCAUCAAGUGUUUAAUAUUUUU
RNAcentral lists this small nuclear RNA (100 nucleotides) under Octodon degus (degu). The record is from RNAcentral. Lineage: Eukaryota; Metazoa; Chordata; Mammalia; Rodentia; Octodontidae.